This 427-nucleotide ribosomal RNA is filed under the name uncultured bacterium. RNAcentral's name for it is "bacterial SSU rRNA". It matches the Rfam family "Bacterial small subunit ribosomal RNA", at positions 355 to 774 of the family's 1533-position model. The record is from RNAcentral.
UGGGGAAUCUUCCGCAAUGGACGAAAGUCUGACGGAGCAACGCCGCGUGAGUGAUGACGGCCUUCGGGUUGUAAAACUCUGUUAUACGGGACGAAUGGACGAGAGGCCAAUACCCUUUCGGAGUGACGGUACCGUAAGAGAAAGCCACGGCUAACUACGUGCCAGCAGCCGCGGUAAUACGUAGGUGGCAAGCGUUGUCCGGAAUUAUUGGGCGUAAAGGGCGCGCAGGUGGUUUCUUAAGUCUGUCUUAAAAGUGCGGGGCUUAACCCCGUGAGGGGACGGAAACUGGGAGACUAGAGUAUCGGAGAGGAAAGCGGAAUUCCUAGUGUAGCGGUGAAAUGCGUAGAUAUUAGGAGGAACACCAGUGGCGAAAGCGGCUUUCUGGACGACAACUGACACUGAGGCGCGAAAGCCAGGGGAGCAAACG